ACGGGAGGCAGCAGUGGGGAAUAUUGGGCAAUGGGCGAAAGCCUGACCCAGCGACGCCGCGUGAAGGAAGAAGGUCUUCGGAUUGUAAACUUCUUUUAUAUGGGACGAAACAAAUGACGGUACCAUAUGAAUAAGCCACGGCUAACUACGUGCCAGCAGCCGCGGUAAUACGUAGGUGGCGAGCGUUAUCCGGAUUUACUGGGUGUAAAGGGUGUGUAGGCGGGAUUGCAAGUCAGAUGUGAAAACUAUGGGCUUAACUCAUAGCCUGCAUUUGAAACUGUAGUUCUUGAGGGUCGGAGGGGUUACUGGAAUUCCUAGUGUAGCGGUGAAAUGCGUAGAUAUUAGGAGGAACACCAGUGGCGAAGGCGGAUUGCUGGACGAUAACUGACGGUGAGGCGCGAAAGCGUGGGGAGCAAACAGGAUUAGAUACCCUGGUA
This is a ribosomal RNA of 437 nucleotides. It matches the Rfam family "Bacterial small subunit ribosomal RNA", at positions 341 to 792 of the family's 1533-position model.